GAAUGAUAUCCGAGUGACGGUACUUUAUGAGAAAGCCACGGCUAACUACGUGCCAGCAGCCGCGGUAAUACGUAGGUGGCGAGCGUUAUCCGGAAUUAUUGGGCGUAAAGAGGGAGCAGGCGGCGGCAGAGGUCUGUGGUGAAAGACUGAAGCUUAACUUCAGUAAGCCAUAGAAACCGGGCUGCUAGAGUGCAGGAGAGGAUCGUGGAAUUCCAUGUGUAGCGGUGAAAUGCGUAGAUAUAUGGAGGAACACCAGUGGCGAAGGCGACGGUCUGGCCUGUAACUGACGCUCAUUCCCGAAAGCGUGGGGAGCAAAUAGGAUUAGAUACCCUAGUAGUCCACGCCGUAAACGAUGAGUACUAAGUGUUGGGAGUCAAAUUUCAGUGCUGCAGUUAACGCAAUAAGUACUCCGCCUGAGUAGUACGUUCGCAAGAAUGAAACUCAAAGGAAUUGACGGGGGCCCGCACAAGCGGUGGAGCAUGUGGUUUAAUUCGAAGCAACGCGAAGAACCUUACCAGGUCUUGACAUCCGGAUAAAGACCUCAGAGAUGAGGGGAUAGAUAUAUCCGAGACAGGUGGUGCAUGGUUGUCGUCAGCUCGUGUCGUGAGAUGUUGGGUUAAGUCCCGCAACGAGCGCAACCCUUGUCGCUAGUUACCAUCAUUAAGUUGGGGACUCUAGCGAGACUGCCAGUGACAAGCUGGAGGAAGGCGGGGAUGACGUCAAAUCAUCAUGCCCCUUAUGACCUGGGCUACACACGUGCUACAAUGGAUGGAGCAGAGGGAAGCGAAGCCGCGAGGUGAAGCAAAACCCAUAAAACCAUUCUCAGUUCGGAUUGUAGUCUGCAACUCGACUACAUGAAGUUGGAAUCGCUAGUAAUCGCGAAUCAGCAUGUCGCGGUGAAUACGUUCUCGGGCCUUGUACACACCGCCCGUCACACCAUGAGAGUUGAUAACACCCGAAGCCGGUGGCCUAACCGCAAGGAGGGAGCUGUCUAAGGUGGGAUUGAUGAUUGGGGUGAAGUCGUAACAAGGUAUCCCUACGGGAACGUGGGGAUG
RNAcentral lists this ribosomal RNA (1055 nucleotides) under human gut metagenome. Its description in RNAcentral is "bacterial SSU rRNA". It matches the Rfam family "Bacterial small subunit ribosomal RNA", at positions 456 to 1520 of the family's 1533-position model. The record is from RNAcentral.